Molecule: ribosomal RNA, 252 nt
Filed under: uncultured bacterium
Lineage: Bacteria
Description: partial 16S ribosomal RNA
Rfam family: Bacterial small subunit ribosomal RNA
Source: RNAcentral
UACAGAGGUCCCGAGCGUUGUUCGGAUUCACUGGGCGUAAAGGGCGCGUAGGCGCCUGGCAAGUGGAUGGUGAAAUCCCUCGGCUUAACCGAGGAACUGCCAUCCAGACUGCUUGGCUUGAGACCGGGAGAGGUGAGUGGAAUUCCCAGUGUAGCGGUGAAAUGCGUAGAUAUUGGGAGGAACACCAGUGGCGAAGGCGGCUCACUGGACCGGUACUGACGCUGAGGCGCGAAAGCGUGGGGAGCAAACGGG